GCAUGGCGCAAGAAAGAACAAAUGUCUGUUCACUAAAUAGGACCUGCGUAUUCCUAUAGGACAAAGGACAUUCUGGUUUAAGGAGACCCUUCCCCAGAAGAAGGAAGAAGAGAAGGAGAUAGAGAUGAUGGCUAGCAGAAAGGCUGACCACGAAGACCCACCUGGAGCUACCUGGAAGACAGUCACCUCACGCUCCAGGAAAUGCAGGGCCAUGGCUGCUCCUCCCCUGGCCCUGCACAAUGGGCCAGGAGGGAAGGAUUCAUCAAGGAAGUGAACUGACAACUCUGACAGUGGUGCUACCGAGAAGGCUUCAGAUUCCUCCACCACAGCAUGCGCUUCAGGGAGAGAGGACUUCUGGGAAGGGAUGGCAUCCAUCUCACGCAGAAAGGUAAGCCCUGUUCUUGGCUAGGGUGGCUGAUUUUCUGGACAGGGCUUUAAAUUCAUUGUUGG
Molecule: long non-coding RNA, 450 nt
Organism: Alligator mississippiensis (American alligator)
Lineage: Eukaryota; Metazoa; Chordata; Crocodylia; Alligatoridae
Exons: 3
Source: RefSeq, a predicted model, not a curated record